Molecule: ribosomal RNA, 492 nt
Filed under: uncultured bacterium
Lineage: Bacteria
Description: partial 16S ribosomal RNA
Rfam family: Bacterial small subunit ribosomal RNA
Source: RNAcentral
AGUGAACGCUGGCGGUAGGCCUAACACAUGCAAGUCGAACGGCAGCACAGUAAGAGCUUGCUCUUACGGGUGGCGAGUGGCGGACGGGUGAGGAAUACCUCGGAAUCUACUUUUUCGUGGGGGAUAACGUAGGGAAACUUACGCUAAUACCGCAUACGACCUAUGGGUGAAAGCAGGGGAUCUUCGGACCUUGCGCGAUUGAAUGAGCCGAUGUCGGAUUAGCUAGUUGGCGGGGUAAAGGCCCACCAAGGCGACGAUCCGUAGCUGGUCUGAGAGGAUGAUCAGCCACACUGGAACUGAGACACGGUCCAGACUCCUACGGGAGGCAGCAGUGGGGAAUAUUGGACAAUGGGCGCAAGCCUGAUCCAGCCAUACCGCGUGGGUGAAGAAGGCCUUCGGGUUGUAAAGCCCUUUUGUUGGGAAAGAAAAGCAGCAGGUUAAUACCCCGCUGUUCUGACGGUACCCAAAGAAUAAGCACCGGCUAACUUCGUG